Molecule: long non-coding RNA, 550 nt
Organism: Bradysia coprophila
Lineage: Eukaryota; Metazoa; Arthropoda; Insecta; Diptera; Sciaridae
Source: RefSeq, a predicted model, not a curated record
CGUAGGAACCAUUGCACCAAAGCAGACACUAAUAAAUCAAAGAAGUUAAUCUACAACUGCCAAAAUUCAUAACGUGUAUGAUGAACUUAGCCCUCAAAAGUGCACCGGAGACUGGCGCACAGGAUGAAAAUGAAAACAAGUCAAAGCUUCGGCAACAUGUCCCAAAACUGAUUUAUUGUUUAAAUGGACAUUUGAAGGACAUCGUUGACACGGCUAUACUCAAAACCGGAAUGACAACCUACGACCCACAUAAAGCGUCCGAAUUUACCCAUAAUCUAUCACUAGAAAUUGGCCUAACAUUGGAAGCUCGGAGAAAAACCAACGAAAAUUCAGAUCGAUUCCGAGCGAUUGUUUUGGUGACCAUAAUGCAAAAAAAUGAACAAUCCGCUGUUUGCAAACUGGGUUUUUUAUGGGAUCCUACGCAGGAUCAUUGGACCAACUACGUUUUCGACUGUCGCACAUUUCAAUUGAAUGCGUCGGUUUUUUGUGUUUCUCUGGACUGAUAUUUGAGAGGAGGAACUUUUAAAAUAAAACAAACUUCAUUAUCGGA